This 459-nucleotide ribosomal RNA is filed under the name uncultured bacterium. RNAcentral's name for it is "partial 16S ribosomal RNA". It matches the Rfam family "Bacterial small subunit ribosomal RNA", at positions 338 to 795 of the family's 1533-position model. The record is from RNAcentral.
CCUACGGGUGGCAGCAGUGAGGAAUAUUGGUCAAUGGUCGGGAGACUGAACCAGCCAAGCCGCGUGAGGGAUGAAGGUACAGAGUAUCGUAAACCUCUUUUGUCAGGGAACAAAGGCGGGGACGCGUCCCCGGAUGAGUGUUACUGAAGAAACAGCAUCGGCACACUCCGGGCCAGCAGCAGCGGUAAUACAGAGGCUGCGAGCGUUAUCAGGAUUGAUUGGGUUAAAGGGGUGCGCGGGCGGUCUGUUAAGUCAGGGGUAAAAGCCCGGGGCUCACCCCCGGCCCGCCGUUGAAACUGGCAGUCUCGAGUUGGAGAGAAGUAUGCGGAAUGCGCGGUGUAGCGGUGAAAUGCAUAGAUAUCGCGCAGAACUCCGAUUGCGAAGGCAGCUCACUGGACUGCAACUGACACUGAGGCUCGAAAGUGUGGGUAUCAAACAGGAUUAGAUACCCUAGUAGUC